CAUAUUACUAAGCGGAGGAAAAGAAAUUAACAAAGAUUGCCUUAGUAAGGGCGACUGAACCGGCAAGAGCUCGAAAUUGAAAUCGUGUAUUCAAGGAAUACUCGAAUUGUAAUCAGGUCCUCCUAAAUACUGGUUUUAGAUUAAGCAUGUCGAAACGUGCACCAUGGAGGGUGACAGUCCCGUGUAUCUGAAACCAGCUUCGGGGAAUCCACAAAAGAGUCGGGUUGUUUGGAACUGCAGCCCUAAGUGGGAGAUAUGAAUCUUCCAAAGCUAAAUAUGGAUGGGAGACCGAUAGCGAACAAGUACUGUGAAGGAAAGAUGAAAAGGACUUUGAAAAGAGAGUGAAAAGAUCUGAAAUCGUUGAGAAGGAAGCGGUAAAAACUGACGUCUAGAAUGAUGGAUAUCGCGGUGCUAAGCUGCGUAAAUCCUAUCAAACGGAAGGCAAAAUGAAGUCAGUUGCAUCAAAAAAGGCAUAUGCCGGACAGGGUGCGACUGGCUUGAGGGACUAUUGUGAUUUUGCCGAAAUGGUUUUUACUGUCCCGUCUUGAAACACGGACCAAGGAGUCUAACCUAUAUGCGAGUGUGCGAGUGGAGAAACUCAUACGCGGAAUGAAAGUGAAAGAUGCGAAGCGCAAGCAGCAGCAUCGACCGACCUAGGUAGAAAGGUUUGAGUCCGAGCAUAUACGUUAGGACCCGAAAGAUGGUGAACUAUGCCUGAGUAGGGUGAAGUCAGGGGAAACCUUGAUGGAGGCUCGAAGCGGUGUUGACGUGCAAAUCACUCGUCAAACUUGGGUAUAGGGGCGAAAGACUAAUCGAACCAUCUAGUAGCUGGUUCCCUCCGAAGUUUCCCUCAGGAUAGCUGGAACAAUAACGCAGUUUUAUCAGGUAAAGCGAAUGAUUAGGGACCUCUGGGCGUUUUUUGCCUGGAUCCAUUCUCAAACUUUAAAUUGGUAAGAACUCCUUGUUACUUAAUUGAACAUGGAGACAGAAUGCAUGUUCUUAGUGGGCCAUUUUUGGUAAGCAGAACUGGCGAUGAGGGAUGAACCUAGCGUCGAGUUAAGGUGCCAAACUAUACGCUUAUCGGAUACCACAAAAGGUGUUGAUUCAUCUAAACAGCAGGGCGGUGGACAUAAAAGUCGUCACCCGCCAAGGAGUGUGUCAUGACUCACCUGCCGAAUGAAUUAGCCCUGAAAAUGGAUGGCGCUAAAGCGUAUGACCGAUACUCGACCAUUAUUGCAAAAGUUAGCAAUAAUGAGUAGGAGGGCGUGGAUGUUGUGAGAAGCUUUUGGCGUGAGCCUGAGUGGAACGGCAUCUAGUGCAGAUCUUGGUGGUAGUAGCAAAUAGCCAAUUGGAAACGUUGGCGGCCGAAGUGGAGAAGGGUUCCCUGAGAACAGUAAUUGGUCAGGGGUUACGCGGUCCUAAGUCUCUGGUUAAAUCUGUAUAAGGUGCUCUAUAGCACGGGACGAAAGGGAAUCAGGUUGAAAUUCCUGACGCGAAUAAAGAUACGUGGCAACACAAACUUGCUCAGAAACGUCAGCGCGUGCCCUUGGAAGAGUUUUCUUUUCUUCUUAACAAGCAAAUGGCCUUGAAAUUGGUUUACCCAGAGAGAAGGCUAUAAGCUUGGCAGAGCAUCUCGCUUUUUAGAGAUGUCAGGUGCGCUCGCGAUGACCCUUGAAAAUCUGAGUUAGAAUUAUCUUAAUUCGGCCGUACCAAUAACCGCAUCAGGCC
This 1728-nucleotide ribosomal RNA is filed under the name Epispathidium sp. RNAcentral describes it as "LSU rRNA". It matches the Rfam family "Eukaryotic large subunit ribosomal RNA", at positions 39 to 1865 of the family's 3401-position model. The record is from RNAcentral. Lineage: Eukaryota; Ciliophora; Litostomatea; Haptorida; Spathidiidae.